UGGGAUUAAUGGAAAGGAAGGUUCAUGU
This 28-nucleotide non-coding RNA is filed under the name Homo sapiens (human). The record is from RNAcentral. Lineage: Eukaryota; Metazoa; Chordata; Mammalia; Primates; Hominidae.